This is a long non-coding RNA of Amblyraja radiata (thorny skate), 213 nucleotides long. RefSeq lists it as uncharacterized. The record is from RefSeq and is a predicted model, not a curated record. Lineage: Eukaryota; Metazoa; Chordata; Chondrichthyes; Rajiformes; Rajidae. The transcript is spliced from 3 exons.
AGGGAGUCCACGGGCUGGGGGUCGGGAUUGGGUAGGGACUCCACUGUCCAGGCCGCUGUGGGGAGCGGGGCCCACCGCGGUGUCUGAGCGGGCGGGGAGACUCAGGGCCGGGGAGCGAGGACAGCAGAUUGACAUCCAUCCAUUCAUCGGUGAGUAUUUUAUCCGCCGCUCCCCAGUGGACGGCUCUAAUCUUGGGGAGAGACUUGGGUUAAA